This 74-nucleotide transfer RNA is filed under the name Pseudomonadota bacterium. Its description in RNAcentral is "tRNA-Ile". It matches the Rfam family "tRNA". From Rfam's summary of the family: Transfer RNA (tRNA) molecules are approximately 80 nucleotides in length. Their secondary structure includes four short double-helical elements and three loops (D, anti-codon, and T loops). Further hydrogen bonds mediate the characteristic L-shaped molecular structure. tRNAs have two regions of fundamental functional importance: the anti-codon, which is responsible for specific mRNA codon recognition, and the 3' end, to which the tRNAs corresponding amino acid is attached (by aminoacyl-tRNA synthetases). tRNAs cope with the degeneracy of the genetic code in two manners: having more than one tRNA (with a specific anti-codon) for a particular amino acid; and 'wobble' base-pairing, i.e. permitting non-standard base-pairing at the 3rd anti-codon position. Lineage: Bacteria; Pseudomonadati; Pseudomonadota. The record is from RNAcentral.
GGGCCCGUAGCUCAGUUGGUUAGAGCAGAGGACUCAUAAUCCUUUGGUCGCUGGUUCGAAUCCAGCCGGGCCCA